GGCUCAGGAUGAACGCUAGCUACAGGCUUAACACAUGCAAGUCGAGGGGCAGCAUGAAGUCAGCUUGCUGACUUGAUGGCGACCGGCGCACGGGUGCGUAACACGUAUCCAAUCUACCCAUGGCUCAGGGAUAGCCUUUCGAAAGAAAGAUUAAUACCUGAUGGCCUUACAUGGAGACAUCUCCUAGUAAGUAAAGAUUUAUCGGCGAUGGAUGAGGAUGCGUCUGAUUAGAUAGUAGGCGGGGUAACGGCCCACCUAGUCGACGAUCAGUAGGGGUUCUGAGAGGAAGGUCCCCCACAUUGGAACUGAGACACGGUCCAAACUCCUACGGGAGGCAGCAGUGAGGAAUAUUGGUCAAUGGACGAGAGUCUGAACCAGCCAAGUAGCCGUGAAGGACGACUGCCCUAUGGGUUGUAAACUUCUUUUGUUUGGGAAUAAAGUGGGCCACGUGUGGCCUUUUGUAUGUACCAUACGAAUAAGCAUCGGCUAAUUCCGUGCCAGCCGCUGC
Molecule: ribosomal RNA, 508 nt
Filed under: uncultured bacterium
Lineage: Bacteria
Description: bacterial SSU rRNA
Rfam family: Bacterial small subunit ribosomal RNA
Source: RNAcentral